Molecule: long non-coding RNA, 1313 nt
Filed under: Strongylocentrotus purpuratus (purple sea urchin)
Lineage: Eukaryota; Metazoa; Echinodermata; Echinoidea; Camarodonta; Strongylocentrotidae
Description: uncharacterized LOC115928627
Source: RNAcentral
GCGAUUUUGAGGGUGAAAGUUGUGACAUGAAAACAUGUCAUUUUCAUGAACUUAUUUCUGGAAAAAAGUUCAUCAUAAUGCAAUGUUUCCUACUUAAAACAUGUCACCUUUAGUACCCCUACUAUGUCUGAGAAGCUCAAGUGAAAUGUGCAAAAAAUCGGCAAGCUAUUUCAUAUUGAAAAAACACAAUACCUACGUUACCAACGAUGUCCUAGGCACUUUUUUCGUAACGGCGGUAAUUCUAGCAUUUUACACAAAUUUAGCAGGAUAUUUUCUCAGAAAGUUUCAUCUUAUUAGGAAGGUACAACCCCUCAUGAACAUAUGUAGAAAGAAUGAUGAUUAAAUCGGUCGGUAAAUAUAAGAAAACAAUUAAUUUACCGCGAAAAUCGGGCGCGAUGUCCUUCGUAAUUUGGUAACGUAGGUGUGAAAUUACGGUGUUUGAGAUAUAAACCAGCCCGCUAGCUUCAGUUUUCGGUGUUAAAAUGACCUGCUAGUUAUUCACGAAUGCGCAGAACAUGUUUUUUGCCGGACUGCGACGACCUACCCCUACAGUGCAACCACAAACGUGAAGAUGUCUUUGUAACGUGGUGCAGCCAUUUUCGCCCGUCAGCGCCCAAAUUGAUUGCUGCAUCCAUUUCAUUCAUGGCUCCUAUAACUCCCUUGAGGAUUCAGCUCCGGCAGAGAGAGAUCAAGAGAGCAGGCAAAAUGACCAGUCAUCGAAACCUUCUUGGAAAACAAAGAUCUUUCCAUCUAAUCACUAUUUUGAAGAAGAUAUAAAGUUGAUCAUUGAUAUCUAUCAAUAUACCUCUUGUAUGAAUACUGUUUUUUAAUUUACUGAUCAAGGGAUAAAAUAUAUUUCAGAUGACAUUUGAUGUAGUCUGUCAUUUUUCAAUGAGUAUAAGAGGAUAGUUACUCUAAUAUCAUACUGAUGUUACUCGGACAUGAUGUCCGUGUAACAUAGGUAACUGGAGGUGUUGAGGUGAAUAUAGACCAUAAAUCUUGCAGGUUUCCUUUCAAUUGUGUUAUCAUCUCAUUAAAUAUGUUUCAUGCAUCAAUUAAUUGGCACAUUUCAUGGAAUGUAGCCAAGAUUUUCUAUGCAAGAGAAAAGAUUACCCUUUAGAAAAAAACAUGAUCUGAAGAUUGCUAGUUCCUCAUUUGUUUCAUGUUUAUAAAUUGAUAUAAUGUUGCUGUGUUCAAGUUUUAAGUAUUCUAAACUAUUGCUCCCAUCAUCUAAAUGUUUUCCACACACAAAAAAGUGGAGUACAGACUGUGACAAAGUUUCAGAUCAGAAAAUAAAUGAGCAAGUAAAAAAA